RNAcentral lists this ribosomal RNA (305 nucleotides) under uncultured bacterium. RNAcentral's name for it is "bacterial SSU rRNA". It matches the Rfam family "Bacterial small subunit ribosomal RNA", at positions 335 to 658 of the family's 1533-position model. The record is from RNAcentral.
AGCCUACGGGGCGCAGCAGUGGGGAAUAUUGGGCAAUGGGGGAAACCCUGACCCAGCGACGCCGCGUGAGGGAAGAAGGUUUUCGGAUUGUAAACCUCUGUCCUUGGUGACGAUAAUGACGGUAGCCAAGGAGGAAGCCACGGCUAACUACGUGCCAGCAGCCGCGGUAAUACGUAGGUGGCGAGCGUUGUCCGGAAUUACUGGGUGUAAAGGGAGCGUAGGCGGCUUGGCAAGUCUGAUGUGAAAGGCUGGGGCUCAACCCCAGGACUGCAUUGGAAACUGUUAGGCUGGAGUGUCGGAGAGGG